GAUGAACGCUGGCGGCGUGCCUAAUACAUGCAAGUCGAGCGAACGGACGAGAAGCUUGCUUCUCUGAUGUUAGCGGCGGACGGGUGAGUAACACGUGGAUAACCUACCUAUAAGACUGGGAUAACUUCGGGAAACCGGAGCUAAUACCGGAUAAUAUUUUGAACCGCAUGGUUCAAAAGUGAAAGACGGUCUUGCUGUCACUUAUAGAUGGAUCCGCGCUGCAUUAGCUAGUUGGUAAGGUAACGGCUUACCAAGGCAACGAUGGAUAGCCGACCUGAGAGGGUGAUCGGCCACACUGGAACGGAGACACGGUCCAGACUCCUACGGGAGGCAGCAGUAGGGAAUCUUACGCAAUGGGCGAAAGCCUGACGGAGCAACGCCGCGUGAGUGAUGAAGGUCUUCGGAUCGUAAAGCUCUGUUAUUGGGGAAGAACAUAUGUGUAAGUAACUGUGCACAUCUUGACGGUACCUAAUCAGAAAGCCACGGCUAACUACGUG
Molecule: ribosomal RNA, 497 nt
Filed under: uncultured bacterium
Lineage: Bacteria
Description: partial 16S ribosomal RNA
Rfam family: Bacterial small subunit ribosomal RNA
Source: RNAcentral